This 871-nucleotide non-coding RNA is filed under the name Trichomonas vaginalis G3. RNAcentral's name for it is "Eukaryotic small subunit ribosomal RNA". It matches the Rfam family "Eukaryotic small subunit ribosomal RNA", at positions 388 to 1386 of the family's 1831-position model. The record is from Rfam by way of RNAcentral. Lineage: Eukaryota; Parabasalia; Trichomonadida; Trichomonadidae.
GAAGGCGCCUGAGAGAUAGCGACUAUAUCCACGGGUAGCAGCAGGCGCGAAACUUUCCCACUCGAGACUUUCGGAGGAGGUAAUGACCAGUUCCAUUGGUGCCUUUUGGUACUGUGGAUAGGGGUACGGUUUUCCACCGUACCGAAACCUAGCAGAGGGCCAGUCUGGUGCCAGCAGCUGCGGUAAUUCCAGCUCUGCGAGUUUGCUCCCAUAUUGUUGCAGUUAAAACGCCCGUAGUCUGAAUUGGCCAGCAAUGGUCGUACGUAUUUUUACGUUCACUGUGAACAAAUCAGGACGCUUAGAGUAUGGCCACAUGAAUGACUCAGCGCAGUAUGAAGUCUUUGUUUUCUUCCGAAAACAAGCUCAAUGAGAGCCAUCGGGGGUAGAUCUAUCUCAUGACGAGUGGUGGAAUACUUUGACUCAUGAGAGAGAAGCUGAGGCGAAGGCGUCUACCUAGAGGGUUUCUGUCGAUCAAGGGCGAGAGUAGGAGUAUCCAACAGGAUUAGAGACCCUGGUAGUUCCUACCUUAAACGAUGCCGACAGGAGUUUGUCAUUUGUUAAUGGCAGAAUCUUUGGAGAAAUCAUAGUUCUUGGGCUCUGGGGGAACUACGACCGCAAGGCUGAAACUUGAAGGAAUUGACGGAAGGGCACACCAGGGGUGGAGCCUGUGGCUUAAUUUGAAUCAACACGGGGAAACUUACCAGGACCAGAUGUUUUUUAUGACUGACAGGCUUCGGGUCUUUCAGGAUAUUGUUUUUGGUGGUGCAUGGCCGUUGGUGGUGCGUGGGUUGACCUGUCUAGCGUUGAUUCAGCUAACGAGCGAGAUUAUCGCCAAAUUAUUUACUUUGCCGAAGUCCUUCGGUUAAAGUUC